AAUCAACGCUGGCGGCGUGCCUAACACAUGCAAGUCGAACGCGAAAGCCCGUUCGGGGUAAGUAGAGUGGCGUCCGGGUGAGUAACACGUAGGUAAUCUGCCUUCGGGUGGGGAAUAACCAGUCGAAAGAUUGGCUAAUACCGCAUAAUGCAGCGGCACCUAAUGGUGAUUAGUUGUUAAAGCGGGGGAGUCGUAAGACCUCGCGCCUGAAGAGGAGCCUGCGGCAGAUUGGCUAGGGUUGAGGUAAUGGCUCACCAAGGCUUCGAUCUGUAGCUGGUCUGAGAGGACGGCCAGCCACACUGGCACUGACACACGGGCCAGACUCCUACGGGAGGCAGCAGUGGGGAAUUUUGGCAAUGGGCGAAAGCCUGACCCAGCAACGCCGCGUGAGGGAGGAAAUCCUUCGGGAUGU
RNAcentral lists this ribosomal RNA (412 nucleotides) under uncultured bacterium. RNAcentral's name for it is "bacterial SSU rRNA". It matches the Rfam family "Bacterial small subunit ribosomal RNA", at positions 32 to 426 of the family's 1533-position model. The record is from RNAcentral.